RNAcentral lists this ribosomal RNA (494 nucleotides) under uncultured bacterium. Its description in RNAcentral is "partial 16S ribosomal RNA". It matches the Rfam family "Bacterial small subunit ribosomal RNA", at positions 30 to 507 of the family's 1533-position model. The record is from RNAcentral.
AUUGAACGCUGGCGGCAUGCUUUACACAUGCAAGUCGAACGGCAGCGGGGAGGAGCUUGCUUCUCUGCCGGCGAGUGGCGAACGGGUGAGUAAUACAUCGGAACGUGUCGAGAAGAGGGGAUAACCACCCGAAAGGGUGGGCAAUACCGCAUUAAUUUCUGAGAAGGAAGCUUGGGGACUAGGAAUUAGGCUAGCGCCUUUUUAGCGGGCGGAUGUCGGAUUAGCUAGUUGUGGAGGUAAAGGCUCACCAAGGCGAAGAUCUGUAGCGGGUCUGAGAGGAUGAUCCGCCACACUGGGACUGAGACACGGCCCAGACUCCUACGGGAGGCAGCAGUGGGGAAUUUUGGACAAUGGGGGCAACCCUGAUCCAGCCAUGCCGCGUGUAUGAAGAAGGCCUUAGGGUUGUAAAGUACUUUUGUUAGGGAAGAAAAGUCAGCUGUGAAUAAUGGCUGAUACUGACGGUACCUAAAGAAUAAGCACCGGCUAACUACGUG